RNAcentral lists this ribosomal RNA (484 nucleotides) under uncultured bacterium. Its description in RNAcentral is "partial 16S ribosomal RNA". It matches the Rfam family "Bacterial small subunit ribosomal RNA", at positions 355 to 831 of the family's 1533-position model. The record is from RNAcentral.
UAGGGAAUCUUCCACAAUGGACGCAAGUCUGAUGGAGCAACGCCGCGUGAGUGAAGAAGGUCUUCGGAUCGUAAAGCUCUGUUGUUGGUGAAGAAGGAUAGAGGCAGUAACUGGUCUUUAUUUGACGGUAAUCAACCAGAAAGUCACGGCUAACUACGUGCCAGCAGCCGCGGUAAUACGUAGGUGGCAAGCGUUGUCCGGAUUUAUUGGGCGUAAAGCGAGCGCAGGCGGAAUGAUAAGUCUGAUGUGAAAGCCCACGGCUCAACCGUGGAACUGCAUCGGAAACUGUCAUUCUUGAGUGCAGAAGAGGAGAGUGGAACUCCAUGUGUAGCGGUGGAAUGCGUAGAUAUAUGGAAGAACACCAGUGGCGAAGGCGGCUCUCUGGUCUGCAACUGACGCUGAGGCUCGAAAGCAUGGGUAGCGAACAGGAUUAGAUACCCUGGUAGUCCAUGCCGUAAACGAUGAGCGCUAGGUGUUGGGGACU